RNAcentral lists this long non-coding RNA (1673 nucleotides) under Olea europaea subsp. europaea. Lineage: Eukaryota; Viridiplantae; Streptophyta; Magnoliopsida; Lamiales; Oleaceae. The record is from RNAcentral.
CUUGAUUUGCCAUGAAUAAUGUUAAGAAGAAAGUUAACCUUGUACAAACACUGACACUGCGGUGUCUAAAACCCUCAUACUAUUAGCUAGAGAAUAAGGGAUUGAAAUGUGUGUAUGGUCUGAACUUGAAUCCGAUGAUUGGGCUGGGUUUUGAAGAUAUUGCACUGAUAUUGCCAAGGUCAAUUUAUUGGCUAUCAUCUCAAAUUUUGUCAUAAAUUACUGAAUUUUGAUUUUGCUAUUUCUGUAGUUUUGUUUAUUGUUAAAAUACACAUUCACAUUAUUUGGGGUUGAGCUUAUAUUGGGGGUGUCAUUUGAAGUUAUGUUUUUAAACCAGAUCUGAAUUAAUUUCGAUUUUAUGUUAAUUUGGAUUAAUUUGCUCUAUUGUUAUAGUUCCAUUUGAGGUACAUCGCUGAAUUGAGAUUUUAUUCAACAGAAAUUUACUUUACAUGUAUACUUUUGGAAUUUUUUACUGGUUUUUAGUAAGUUAUUUUGGUUGAUAACUUGAAACCAAAUUCAUCGGCGUAAUGUAGGUUGUAGGUAGGGUUAGAUUUUUGCUCACAAGAGUAAGUAAAAUUCUAUAUGUUCUGCAUUGAAGAACGUAUGUAAAGGAAGCCAAAGAUAAGCUAGAAUGAUUUGAAUGUUGUGAAAAUGAAAUCGGAAGUGCCCCUGGAUUAUGCUGAAUUCCUUUUGUCAACAAAGCACUCGCAGUGAGGAUGUCUAGUUAAUUACAUUGGAUGUCAAUUUUUAAUAAGUGGCUGAAUGUUAUGUUUUCAGUCAUUUAUCUUCAGUUCCUAUUGGCUAGAUGUGAAUGGGUUUUUUCCAGCAACGGAAACACAGAGAAACUGGCAUCAGGAUUGGUUAAACCAUUUGUGGCACAUUUGAAGAUAGCAAAGGUACAUGUUGCAUUAGCUCAGCUGCAUAGUCAGUUAAACUUGAAUUGGAAGGCGUAAAAAUUCUGAGACGUGGUUCACGAAGGGAACACUUGAGAGGUAUUGCAAUUUGCAACUUGUUACGGAAUAUAUUCAAAUUAUCAAAUUUCAAGAUAAUGGUGAAUGGUGAUUCUUUUGUUAAGAUUUGUGCAAUUUGUGGACACGCUAGAGGUUUUGGAACUGGUUAAUACAUUAGAUGAUGAGAUGUCCCCACUAGAAGCAGCCCAAAGAAUAUAUUCACAGGUACAUGUACAAAUUCCAAGUCAUUGAAUAUUUCAUUUCAUUUGUUGCUUUUUCGUUGAUUUCACGUUAACAUAUUUAGUUCCGCAAAACUCUUAUAAAUGAAAACACUGAUUGCUUACUAGUUACUACGAUUUAGGGGCCCAAAAUUUGAAGUUCGCCUCAGGCCUUGCAGUACACAGGUACGGCACUGUCCGUGCAUGUGUUCCGCCAAGAGGUAAAGAGUGACUGGAAGUGUGCGGGAGUAAGGAUUUUCAGUGGGAACGAUGGGUUUAGGUAAAAGAUUUGUGAAAUUUUGUGGUCAAUUUAUGACGAAAAUUGAAAAAGUCUGGAAGCUACAACGUGUAGUAACGAUUAGAAAAAGAAAGAGGUAGAUAAAGAAGACAGUGGGAAAUUGAAAAGAACAGGAGGAAAAGGAUAAAAGAUCAAGAAAAAAGCAAACAAAAACGCGUUCGGUGUCUUGAUUUCCAGUGGGAAGGAAAAAGUGGUAAAUGACCGGUUGAU